Thunnus maccoyii (southern bluefin tuna) is the source of this 226-nucleotide long non-coding RNA. RefSeq lists it as uncharacterized. The transcript has 3 exons. Lineage: Eukaryota; Metazoa; Chordata; Actinopteri; Scombriformes; Scombridae. The record is from RefSeq and is a predicted model, not a curated record.
UGUCUGACUGUCUCAGACCUGCUUAGCUGCUCUCGUGCCACUGGGUGUCAUAUAGCUCCACUGAGACACAUAUACACUCAUGCAACCGGAAACCAAGCAACCUGAAGCUUGCAGGGAUGGAGUUCAAGUAGACAUAACUUGAGAGAAAUCGGUCCAUUACCAUAUGGAGAAAUCACUGGAUUUAAGAACUUGGCUUUCCGAACAAGGAGGGAUAUUGAAUAAAGAU